GUGGUGAAGGUCUGGAGCUGGGAUCGGUGACCUGCACUGAGGCUCA
RNAcentral lists this small nucleolar RNA (46 nucleotides) under Pyrobaculum calidifontis JCM 11548. RNAcentral describes it as "PCAsR26a". Lineage: Archaea; Thermoproteati; Thermoproteota; Thermoprotei; Thermoproteales; Thermoproteaceae. The record is from RNAcentral.